Long non-coding RNA from Nothoprocta perdicaria, 238 nucleotides. RefSeq lists it as uncharacterized. Lineage: Eukaryota; Metazoa; Chordata; Aves; Tinamiformes; Tinamidae. The record is from RefSeq and is a predicted model, not a curated record. The transcript has 2 exons.
CCAGGUUGUUACAUAACUCUGCACCCGAGUACAGCAGCAUAACGUCAGUGUCGCACAUGAGGAUUUACAAGGAAACUAUAAUAUAAUCUUCAUAAAGCAGUACUCACAGAUGGGAACUCUUUCCCCUUUUCAGUCUUCCUUGUAAACAGAUUUUUCCUAUAAGAAACGAGGAGCUGAAAUACAUUUCUGGAACAGCGAGCACAAACCCCGUGUCACAUUUCAAGGAUCUUGUUAUCAU